GGGUUCAUACGUUGGUCGGGCUAUUUGGUCUGUACUUAUGUAAUGGAUUCCUACCUUCUGAAUAACCGGCAUGCCAUUAAUUUGGUGUCGUGGGGAAUCAGGACUGUUACUUUGAAAAAAUUAGAGUGUUUAAAGCAGGCGCACGCUUGAAUACAUUAGCAUGGAAUAAUGAAAUAGGACGUUUGAUUCUAUUUUGUUGGUUUCUAGGAUUGACGUA
RNAcentral lists this ribosomal RNA (217 nucleotides) under Campeiostachys nutans. RNAcentral describes it as "Elymus nutans partial small subunit ribosomal RNA". It matches the Rfam family "Eukaryotic small subunit ribosomal RNA", at positions 667 to 864 of the family's 1831-position model. The record is from RNAcentral. Lineage: Eukaryota; Viridiplantae; Streptophyta; Magnoliopsida; Poales; Poaceae.